GGAUUUCGCGUUUAAAAAAGUUUGCCAGUACAGGAAUUUGGCCAUCAAAUGAGGGUAACAGGCCAGCUCCUCGACAGAAAAAGUGGUACGAGAUUUAUCAAAGGGUGAGUGAGUGUUUGUUACCUUUGCAUGAUAGAGAGAUAAUAAUAAAAAAAAGACUUAAGUGUUUGUUGACUUGCAUAAUCGAACAUUAUUACUAUCUUUGUUUAAUGUAUUUGCAUAAGAGAACAACACAUUAGGCUUCAGUACAAACAUUUACCUGGUCCCAUUCAUUAGAACGAUGUAAUGGGAUGGUUGUGUUAUGUUAUGGCUUACACCAAUGUAAACCAGAGUAUGUCAUAAUUGUUUAUAGACAUUUAUGUAAUGUUGCAGGUAUUUUGAGAUUCAUGUCAUACUGUAAAUGAAAAGCUACAUCAAAGGUCUUUGUGUACUGGGAGAUUCAGAGAUUAGAGAAGGUGGGGGAAGGGACGGUGAAUGAAUAGGUGGUCUGAAGGUGUGAAAUGUUCCUCUCUUGUAUCUCUCACCUUUAAAGAGAGAUACCAGCUGUAACAUUAUACAUAAGAUAAAUGUGUCUUGUGUCCUAGAAAUUAAUCAAUGAAUUAAAUAAUAUAUGAAUUUAAUGAAGUAUUUUAUGCUCUCUUAAGGGACUCACUUGUAUUGUGCAUUACAUUUGUUAUAAUACUUACAGAUUGAGAAAUGUCCGAUGCUGUCUCGUGGCCAAACAACCUUGCUUGGAGGUGUGCUGAAAUGCAUCUGUGGUUUUCACAUUCCAAAGGUAACAUUAAUGUAGCAAGUAUUUUUUGUUAGUAUUGUUUACUGAAAUGGUUUUCUUUCUGAAUUGUUAUAUGUAUGUUUUUUUUUUUUUUUUUUUAUUAGCAGCCCACUGCCUCUACUGGACCAGCACAAAGGGUGGUGGAACAACCUGCUGCUGCUGAAACAGCAAAGAAGGCCAUGGAGCGGAGUCAGCCUGACCCCCAGCCUCAUCCCCUGCCCCAGCCCCAGCCUACUGCACCAGUGGAAGCAAGAGUUGCACCACAAUUUUCAACGUUUACCAAGCCAAGAUUUACUGGCUCUCACCUUGCUGCAGCAAAGCCAAAUCUUAGUUUGGCCAGGAGACCUUCUCAGGUUGAAGACCAGCCCAGCGCAGCAGUGUCUAGUGGCUCUAUACCAAGCACCACUGCCUCUACACCAGAUCCUCAAGUUCCAUGCCCUGUCCCCAGAGCCACUGCAGAUGUGUCCAGUCCCGCUCAGCCAUGCAAUAUUGUCUCAGUAAGUAACUUCCUAUUCUGUUGGUCCUUCAAAAAUGUAAUUAAAUCAGCUGUUGCCAGACACUUAAUGGAGAUGUGAAAAGGCUUACAUGGCCUUUAAACUAAAUAAC
Molecule: long non-coding RNA, 1378 nt
Organism: Cyprinus carpio carpio
Lineage: Eukaryota; Metazoa; Chordata; Actinopteri; Cypriniformes; Cyprinidae
Source: Ensembl